CUACGGGACGCUCCAGUGAGGAAUAUUGCACAAUGGGGGGAACCCUGAUGCAGCAACGCCGCGUGGAGGAUGACGCAUUUCGGUGUGUAAACUCCUUUUAUAUGUCAAGAAAAUGACGGUAGCAUAUGAAUAAGCACCGGCUAACUCCGUGCCAGCAGCCGCGGUAAUACGGAGGGUGCAAGCGUUACUCGGAAUCACUGGGCGUAAAGGACGCGUAGGCGGGAUAUCAAGUCAGGUGUGAAAUCCUACAGCUUAACUGUAGAACUGCACUUGAAACUGGUAACCUAGAGUAUGGGAGGGGGAGAUGGAAUUAGUGGUGUAGGGGUAAAAUCCGUAGAUAUCACUAGGAAUACCUAAAGCGAAGGCGAUCUCCUGGAACAUAACUGACGCUAAGGCGUGAAAGCGUGGGGAGCAAACAGGAUUAGAUACCCCUGUAGUC
Molecule: ribosomal RNA, 439 nt
Filed under: uncultured bacterium
Lineage: Bacteria
Description: partial 16S ribosomal RNA
Rfam family: Bacterial small subunit ribosomal RNA
Source: RNAcentral